RNAcentral lists this ribosomal RNA (492 nucleotides) under uncultured bacterium. RNAcentral describes it as "partial 16S ribosomal RNA". It matches the Rfam family "Bacterial small subunit ribosomal RNA", at positions 29 to 507 of the family's 1533-position model. The record is from RNAcentral.
AGUGAACGCUGGCGGUAGGCCUAACACAUGCAAGUCGAACGGCAGCACAGUAAGAGCUUGCUCUUACGGGUGGCGAGUGGCGGACGGGUGAGGAAUACAUCGGAAUCUACUUUUUCGUGGGGGAUAACGUAGGGAAACUUACGCUAAUACCGCAUACGAUCUACGGGUGAAAGCAGGGGAUCUUCGCACCUUGCGCGAUUGAAUGAGCCGAUGUCGGAUUAGCUGGUUGGCGGGGUAAAGGCCCACCAAGGCGAGGAUCCGUAGCUGGUCUGGGAGGACGGUCGGCCACAUUGGAGCUGGGACACGGUCCAGACUCCUACGGUAGGCAGCAGUGGGGAAUAUUGGACAAUGGGCGCAAGCCUGGUCCAGCCAUACCGCGUGGGUGAAGAAGGCCUUCGGGUUGUAAAGCCCUUUUGUUGGGAAAGAAAAGCAGCAGGUUAAUACCCCGCUGUUCUGACGGUACCCAAAGAAUAAGCACCGGCUAACUACGUG